This 245-nucleotide ribosomal RNA is filed under the name uncultured bacterium. RNAcentral describes it as "partial 16S ribosomal RNA". It matches the Rfam family "Bacterial small subunit ribosomal RNA", at positions 30 to 273 of the family's 1533-position model. The record is from RNAcentral.
AUUGAACGCUGGCGGCGUGCUUAACACAUGCAAGUCGUGCGGUAACAGGCGUAGCAAUACGUGCUGACGAGCGGCGAACGGGUGCGUAAUACAUGGGAAUCUGCCUUUUAGUGGGGAAUAGCCCGGCGAAAGCGGGCUAAUGCCGCAUAAGAUCUUCGGAUGAAAGCGGGGAGUCGUAAGAACUCGCGCUGAUAGAUGAGCCACUGCCGGAGUUAGUCAGUUGGUGAGGUAACGGCUCACCAAGG